Molecule: ribosomal RNA, 384 nt
Filed under: uncultured bacterium
Lineage: Bacteria
Description: bacterial SSU rRNA
Rfam family: Bacterial small subunit ribosomal RNA
Source: RNAcentral
AUUGAACGCUGGCGGCAUGCCUUACACAUGCAAGUCGAACGGCAGCGCGGGGCAACCUGGCGGCGAGUGGCGAACGGGUGAGUAAUAUAUCGGAACGUGCCCUGGAGUGGGGAUAACGUAGCGAAAGUUACGCUAAUACCGCAUACGAUCCAAGGAUGAAAGCAGGGGACCUUCGGGCCUUGUGCUCCUGGAGCGGCCGAUAUCUGAUUAGCUAGUUGGUGGGGUAAAAGCCUACCAAGGCGACGAUCAGUAGCUGGUCUGAGAGGACGACCAGCCACACUGGAACUGAGACACGGUCCAGACUCCUACGGGAGGCAGCAGUGGGGAAUUUUGGACAAUGGGGGGCAACCCUGAUCCAGCAAUGCCGCGUGUGUGAAGAAGGCC